RNAcentral lists this long non-coding RNA (219 nucleotides) under Vigna radiata. RNAcentral's name for it is "long non-coding RNA (VRAD_LNC011158)". Lineage: Eukaryota; Viridiplantae; Streptophyta; Magnoliopsida; Fabales; Fabaceae. The record is from RNAcentral.
CGGAAUAUAAAAUAGGAGUUUUUACAUAAGGUACCAAAAGAUAACAACAACACUGUUAAUUGUAAACACUUCAUGCCGAGAGGUGGUUAGGGGAAGGAUCACUGGGAGCGGUGCGAGGUUCGGUCGGAGGAUUGAUCAAAUCUCCUUCCGUCCCGAUGGAGGUGUUUGCCAGAAGGUCGGGGGCGGGAGCGAGUUGCAUGGAUAGAUCCACCAGUUGCC